Molecule: long non-coding RNA, 863 nt
Filed under: Capra hircus (goat)
Lineage: Eukaryota; Metazoa; Chordata; Mammalia; Artiodactyla; Bovidae
Description: lncRNA (ENSCHIG00000008106.1)
Source: RNAcentral
AUCCCUCCUUGGGAAAUCACAUUUGCCACCCUCAUGGGGAGCAGCCCUAUGAACCAUGUGAUGAUGGCUUCUCAGCACCCACCUGACUGCAACAAUGAUUAGGAGCCUCAAGUAACAAGAUAACUCAUUGGCUGACUGGUGGCCUUUCAGAUUUUCUUUUAUUGAGUAAUUCAACCAACAGGCCAGAGGCUGUAGUCAUUCAGUGGUGAGUAUUUGAGCUGAAAGCUCAUAUAGACUUGAGAUGAAGUUUGCAACAUGACGAAGGGGAAGCCACAGCACAUGUAAGUCAGAGUUUUGGGAGAGCACAUAAACUGUGAUUGAGAACAAGAGGAAGCCGGCUGUUAGGCCAAGGAGAGCGUGACUCAGCCCUGCAGGAAGGAGGGAGCUGGAGUGGUUUCUGAUUCAUGCAACCAGUGACAUACGCUGACUAUAACUCCAUGGUUCGAUCUGCUAUCGAGGUCCAGUCUCAUGUCAGUCAUAAAAGCCGGGAAUCAAGACCCAGAGUCAGGGAAGAGAAGGAGAACUCAUUGUCCAGAACUGGAAUUAGUUACCAGGCCUCAUCUAAGCACAAGAGAAGCAGCUCGUACAUUCUGCCAGGUAGUACCAUUCUACUAGGGACCCAGAAGGGACUUCGAGGAGGACAGAAACAUCUAAAGAGCAGCAGUAGUGGCUGUCACAUCUUGAAAAGCACAUGAUGUACACAAGUAGAAAAGAUGCCGAAUUCCAUUGGAAAGGAAGUCAUAACUGAGCUGGAUAUUGAAAGACAAGGUCCACCACGCCCUGCGAAGGACGUGUGCAGAGGCCAAAGGUGAGGAGGAGGCUGGGGUAUUGGUGGGAGUGGCAGGAAACGCUGGUGGCUGCAC